RNAcentral lists this long non-coding RNA (586 nucleotides) under Salmo salar (Atlantic salmon). RNAcentral describes it as "lncRNA (ENSSSAG00000112496.1)". The record is from RNAcentral. Lineage: Eukaryota; Metazoa; Chordata; Actinopteri; Salmoniformes; Salmonidae.
GUGUAUCUGUGUGCUCCAGAGAGAGGAGUUUGUAGUGUAUCUGUGUGCUCCAGAGAGAGGAGUUUGUAGUGUAUCUGUGUGCUCCAGAGAGAGGAGUUUGUAGUGUAUCUGUGUGCUACAGAGAGAGGAGUUUGUAGUGUAUCUGUGUGCUACAGAGAGAGGAGUUUGUAGUGUAUCUGUGUGCUCCAGAGAGAGGAGUUUGUAGUGUAUCUGUGUGCGUUUUUGGUACCUAAUGAAACUGAUAUUUGUCAGUCCCCUUCACUUUCCCAAAUGUUGUUACAUUACAGCCUUAUUCUAAAAUGGAUUAAAUACUGCAUUUCCCUCAUCAAUCUACACACAAUACACCAUCAUGACAUCACAAUACCCCAUGAUGACAUCACAAUACCCCAUGAUGACAUCACAAUAGCCCAUCAUUACAUCACAAUACCCCAUCAUGACAUCACAAUACCUCAUUAUGACAUCACAAUACCCCAUAAUGACAUCACAAUACCACAUAAUGGCAAAACGAAAACAGGUUUUUUGAAAUUUGUGCAAAUGUAUAAAAAAUUCUAAACAGAAAUAACUUAUUUACAUACGUAUUCAGACC